AGUGAACGCUGGCGGCAGGCCUAACACAUGCAAGUCGAACGGCAGCGGGUCCUUCGGGAUGCCGGCGAGUGGCGGACGGGUGAGGAAUACAUGGGAAUCUGCCCAGUCGUGGGGGAUAACGUAGGGAAACUUACGCUAAUACCGCAUGCGACCUUAGGGUGAAAGCGGCGGACCGCAAGGCGUCGCGCGAUUGGAUGAGCCCAUGUCGGAUUAGCUAGUUGGCGGGGUAAAGGCCCACCAAGGCGACGAUCCGUAGCUGGUCUGAGAGGAUGAUCAGCCACACUGGAACUGAGACACGGUCCAGACUCCUACGGGAGGCAGCAGUGGGGAAUAUUGGACAAUGGGCGCAAGCCUGAUCCAGCCAUGCCGCGUGAGUGAAGAAGGCCUUCGGGUUGUAAAGCUCUUUUGUCCGGAAAGAAAAGCUCUCGGUUAAUACCCGGGGGUUCUGACGGUACCGGAAGAAUAAGCACCGGCUAACUUCGUGCCAGCAGCCGCGGUAAUACGAAGGGUGCAAGCGUUACUCGGAAUUACUGGGCGUAAAGCGUGCGUAGGUGGUUCGUUAAGUCUGAUGUGAAAGCCCUGGGCUCAACCUGGGAAUGGCAUUGGAUACUGGCGAUCUAGAGUGCGGUAGAGGGCAGUGGAAUUCCCGGUGUAGCAGUGAAAUGCGUAGAGAUCGGGAGGAACAUCUGUGGCGAAGGCGACUGCCUGGACCAGCACUGACACUGAGGCACGAAAGCGUGGGGAGCAAACAGGAUUAGAUACCCUGGUAGUCCACGCCCUAAACGAUGCGAACUGGAUGUUGGGUGCAACUAGGCACUCAGUAUCGAAGCUAACGCGUUAAGUUCGCCGCCUGGGGAGUACGGUCGCAAGACUGA
RNAcentral lists this ribosomal RNA (875 nucleotides) under uncultured Gammaproteobacteria bacterium. Its description in RNAcentral is "bacterial SSU rRNA". It matches the Rfam family "Bacterial small subunit ribosomal RNA", at positions 28 to 897 of the family's 1533-position model. The record is from RNAcentral. Lineage: Bacteria; Pseudomonadati; Pseudomonadota; Gammaproteobacteria.